This 77-nucleotide transfer RNA is filed under the name Desmophyllum pertusum. RNAcentral's name for it is "tRNA-Ala". It matches the Rfam family "tRNA". Rfam says of the family: Transfer RNA (tRNA) molecules are approximately 80 nucleotides in length. Their secondary structure includes four short double-helical elements and three loops (D, anti-codon, and T loops). Further hydrogen bonds mediate the characteristic L-shaped molecular structure. tRNAs have two regions of fundamental functional importance: the anti-codon, which is responsible for specific mRNA codon recognition, and the 3' end, to which the tRNAs corresponding amino acid is attached (by aminoacyl-tRNA synthetases). tRNAs cope with the degeneracy of the genetic code in two manners: having more than one tRNA (with a specific anti-codon) for a particular amino acid; and 'wobble' base-pairing, i.e. permitting non-standard base-pairing at the 3rd anti-codon position. The record is from RNAcentral. Lineage: Eukaryota; Metazoa; Cnidaria; Anthozoa; Scleractinia; Caryophylliidae.
GUCCUCCAUAGCUCAGUGGUUAGAGCGUCCAACCGGCACCUGGAAGGUCAUGGGUUCGAUUCCCGUUGGGGAGCUCA